ACAGGAGGAAGCUUGCUUCCUUGCUGACGAGUAGCGGACGGGUGAGUAAAGCUUGGGAAUCUGUCUUAGGGAGGGGGAUAACCACGGGAAACUGUGGCUAAUACCGCGUAUAAUCGAGAGAUGAGAGGUGUGGGACCGUAAGGCCACAUGCCCUGAGGUGAGCCCAAGUGAGAUUAGGUAGUUGGUGGGGUAAAGGCCUACCAAGCCGACGAUCUCUAGCUGGUUUGAGAGGAUGACCAGCCACACUGGGACUGAGACACGGCCCAGACUCCUACGGGAGGCAGCAGUGGGGAAUAUUGCGCAAUGGGGGCAACCCUGACGCAGCCAUGCCGCGUGAAUGAAGAAGGCCUUCGGGUUGUAAAGUUCUUUCAGUGGUGAGGAAGGUAAUAAUGUUAAUAGUAUUAUUAAUUGACGUUAGCCACAGAAGAAGCACCGGCUAAUUCCGUGCCAGCAGCCGCGGUAAUACGGAAGGUGCGAGCGUUAAUCGGAAUAACUGGGCGUAAAGGGCACGCAAGCGGUAACUUAAGUGAGGUGUGAAAGCCCAGGGCUUAACCUUGGAGGUGCAUUUCAUACUGGGUUACUAGAGUACUCUAGGGAGGGGUA
Molecule: ribosomal RNA, 603 nt
Filed under: uncultured bacterium
Lineage: Bacteria
Description: bacterial SSU rRNA
Rfam family: Bacterial small subunit ribosomal RNA
Source: RNAcentral